AUGUUACAUCAAUUUUCCAAUCCAGCCAAUACUCAGGUAAGGUUAACAAAUCUUAUUUUAUUAUUUCGGUUCAAAGCAGUGUUGUUAGAUAGUGGCUGGGGAUGUUAUAUCAUUAUAUUUGUAGUGGAAUUAAAAAAAAAAAACCAGUUAAAUUUUAUUUUUAUGCCUAUACCACAUUAUCACCUAUAUAUUCUUCAGCAUGAAUGCAUAUAA
Molecule: non-coding RNA, 213 nt
Organism: Vicia faba (fava bean)
Lineage: Eukaryota; Viridiplantae; Streptophyta; Magnoliopsida; Fabales; Fabaceae
Source: the annotation of a GenBank genome assembly